This 445-nucleotide ribosomal RNA is filed under the name uncultured bacterium. RNAcentral's name for it is "bacterial SSU rRNA". It matches the Rfam family "Bacterial small subunit ribosomal RNA", at positions 335 to 800 of the family's 1533-position model. The record is from RNAcentral.
ACUCCUACGGGAGGCAGCAGUGGGAAUCUUAGACAAUGGGCGCAAGCCUGAUCUAGCCAUGCCGCGUGAGUGAUGAAGGCCCUAGGGUCGUAAAGCUCUUUCGCCAGGGAUGAUAAUGACAGUACCUGGUAAAGAAACCCGGCUAACUCCGUGCCAGCAGCCGCGGUAAUACGGAGGGGUUAGCGUUGUUCGGAAUUACUGGGCGUAAAGCGUACGUAGGCGGAUUAGAAAGUUAGGGGUGAAAUCCCAGGGCUCAACCCUGGAACUGCCUCUAAAACUACUAGUCUAGAGUUCGAGAGAGGUGAGUGGAACUCCGAGUGUAGAGGUGAAAUUCGUAGAUAUUCGGAAGAACACCAGUGGCGAAGGCGGCUCACUGGCUCGAUACUGACGCUGAGGUACGAAAGUGUGGGGAGCAAACAGGAUUAGAUACCCUGGUAGGCUCUGC